RNAcentral lists this long non-coding RNA (280 nucleotides) under Durio zibethinus. Its description in RNAcentral is "long non-coding RNA (DZIB_LNC001731)". The record is from RNAcentral. Lineage: Eukaryota; Viridiplantae; Streptophyta; Magnoliopsida; Malvales; Malvaceae.
UUGACAUGGCCUCUAUCCAUUUUGUGUUUUUGAAAGCCUGAGGAAAGGUUGGUUCUUCUUGGUCUGAGAUGGCAACUGGAAAAGAGUGAUGAAUGGAAUUUAAUUUUUCAAAAAAUAUAGUCAUAUUUGAUGUAUAAAAUUCAACAUAUCAAUUGAAUUGACUGGUGGCAGAGAUGAAGAUGGAUGUAUUACUUGAAGAGAGUUGCAAAUACAUUCGUACAAGUGCUUAGGCCAAUUUGAAUUCUUUGUGAGCAAAGGGGAAAUGAAAUUUUAUCAGAGG